GGGCCAUAGUUCAGUGGGAGAGCACCUGCUGGGCAUGCAGAAGGUCCUAGGUUCAACCCCCAGAAUCUCCA
Non-coding RNA from Podarcis lilfordi (Lilford's wall lizard), 71 nucleotides. NCBI's taxonomy places the organism in Eukaryota, Metazoa, Chordata, Lepidosauria, Squamata, Lacertidae. The record is from the annotation of a GenBank genome assembly.